GGAAUACUUAGUACGGCGAGUGAAGCGGUAAAAGCUCAAAUUUGAAAUCUGGUACUUUCAGUGCCCGAGUUGUAAUUUGUAGAAUUUGUCUUUGAUUAGGUCCUUGUCUAUGUUCCUUGGAACAGGACGUCAUAGAGGGUGAGAAUCCCGUUUGGCGAGGAUACCUUUUCUCUGUAAGACUUUUUCGAAGAGUCGAGUUGUUUGGGAAUGCAGCUCAAAGUGGGUGGUAAAUUCCAUCUAAAGCUAAAUAUUGGCGAGAGACCGAUAGCGAACAAGUACAGUGAUGGAAAGAUGAAAAGAACUUUGAAAAGAGAGUGAAAAAGUACGUGAAAUUGUUGAAAGGGAAGGGCAUUUGAUCAGACAUGGUGUUUUUUGCAUGCACUCGCCUCUCGUGGGCUUGGGCCUCUCAAAAAUUUCACUGGGCCAACAUCAAUUCUGGCAGCAGGAUAAAUCAUUAAGAAUGUAGCUACUUCGGUAGUGUUAUAGCUUUUUGGAAUACUGUUAGCCGGGAUUGAGGACUGCGCUUCGGCAAGGAUGUUGGCAUAAUGGUUAAAUGCCGCCCGUCUUGAACCACGGGACCA
Molecule: ribosomal RNA, 581 nt
Filed under: Hanseniaspora uvarum
Lineage: Eukaryota; Fungi; Ascomycota; Saccharomycetes; Saccharomycodales; Saccharomycodaceae
Description: partial large subunit ribosomal RNA
Rfam family: Eukaryotic large subunit ribosomal RNA
Source: RNAcentral